GAUGCUCGAUCUUACCGGAGCAUCCGCCCGAGAACUACGAGCACAAACGCUUAAAACUCUAAGGACUUGGCGGUGUUCCAAACCCACCUAGAGGAGCCUGUUCUGUAAUCGAUGAUCCACGAUAUACCUUACCAUUCCUUGCCAGAACAGCCUAUAUACCGCCGUCGCCAGCCCACCCCGCAUGAAGGUUCAACAGUGGACGCAAUAGCCCUUCCCCGCUAAUAAGACAGGUCAAGGUAUAGCCUAUGGAAUGGAAGCAAUGGGCUACAUUUUCUAGAUUAGAACAAACGGCAAAGGGACAUGAAACGGUCCCUGGAAGGCGGAUUUAGCAGUAAAGUGGGACAAUCGAGCCCUCUUUAAGCCGGCCCUGGAGCACGUACAUACCGCCCGUCACCCUCCUCAAAAGCGACCCCCCCCCCCCCCCCCUAAAAAACUCCCCCCCCCAAAAAAAGGGAAUCCCUACAAAGGGGA
This 471-nucleotide ribosomal RNA is filed under the name Phylloscopus inornatus (yellow-browed warbler). Its description in RNAcentral is "Abrornis inornata (yellow-browed warbler) partial 12S ribosomal RNA". It matches the Rfam family "Bacterial small subunit ribosomal RNA", at positions 801 to 1479 of the family's 1533-position model. The record is from RNAcentral. Lineage: Eukaryota; Metazoa; Chordata; Aves; Passeriformes; Phylloscopidae.